This is a long non-coding RNA of Hyla sarda, 2714 nucleotides long. RefSeq lists it as uncharacterized. The transcript is spliced from 3 exons. NCBI's taxonomy places the organism in Eukaryota, Metazoa, Chordata, Amphibia, Anura, Hylidae. The record is from RefSeq and is a predicted model, not a curated record.
UGCUCUACGGGCUCUCUACAGCCCAGGCACCUUGAUAUCAGGCUUGGAGCAAUGAAACGCUGAUCGGCCAGCGUUAAGCCAGUAAUGAGAAGUAAAGAAAGAAAAAUAAGAAAAAAAGGAACAAAGAGGAACAAAGAGGAGUGCUCCUCAGUGCCGUAUGUACAACAUCAGAAGUGGGCCUGUGGUCUCUCACUCAUUCUCACCGCUCCCUAUGGCAGAAACGGCGACAGAUCAGUGGCACCCGCCCUUCCCAUCCACAAUAUCAACAUCCAGCUUGACAUCACACUAGUACUCCUGACCACUUGCAGCCUCCUCACGAAUACUGGGACUAUCGACUCUGCACCCUUGCCAGGCACUUCUCCAGUGACGGGCAGCACUGGGAUGACCCGGGCUGGCUACCUAUGGCGGCCGACCAGGGACAAUCCUAUAAGGGUACACGGGUCAGCUCCGAUAACCGGGACUCUCCGCAUGACCCUGUGCUACAAAAAAACUAUCAGGAGACUGAAGUGCCACCACCGAGAGUCUUUCCCUGAAUCAAAAUGGCGUCUCACCUCUCCAAUACUCCAACGAGCAUGCGUGGAGAACGAUGCCAGUGGUCUCCAUGAAUACUCUGCACAUGAUUGCUCACGUGGUUUUGUUGUCAUACGUCACUUCCGACCACCUCACAGGAUUGCCUUGUGUGUGUAGGGGGAAGGCGCGCGAUGCCCCGCUGCGCAAACAGGAAGUCAUCUGUUGGGUGAGUGACUGGAUCCUCCGCCCACUUUUGUAAAAGAGACUUUACAGUGCACACAACACUAUGCAAUAUUGUUUCUAAUGCAAUAUUUAUAAAUUACAAUUGCCCACAUUUUUCAUAUCCUAUGUUGUGCACCUGUACUCACUGUUUGAUCACUUUGCAACAUCACACCUUUAUUUGUUUAUUUGUUUACAUGUCAAUUAUGUUUGAUUAAUGGGCGGAACUUCGUGACCAGAAAAACCCUCCAUGUACUACCAUUUGUUGCUUGAUAAUGGCAGCGAGAGGCUGUUGAAACGUCGCUCACAGUGGAGUUAUAUAAAAGACAUCACUUUGCACUAAUUACGGGAGUGACACUGCUUCUUUUUGGAUAUAUCUACAUUGGACCUCAUACCAAGGUUUACAACAGUAGGCACCCCUACACCCAGUCCAUAGGAGUGCUGCUUUCUCCUUUUCCCACAGUAUUAUACAGAUAGAGCUGGAGGGUAGGUUUAUAACAACUAUAUAUCCUGUUCCCAUUGAGAUAGCAGCAGCAGCAGUAUACAGAUAGAGCUGGAGGGGAAGUGUAUAACUACUGUAUAUCCUAAACACAUGGAGAUAGCAGCAGUAUACAGAUAGAGAGAUAGAGUAGGGAGGGGUCCCGUAGCUGGGAGGAGGGAUCUGAUCACUUCCUAUGACACAUUAAAGAGGUUCUGUGGUCAAGUCCAGAACAUAGAUAAUUUUUAUAUGUAAAUAUAGGUUAAGGGGCCCUGAUAAUUUACCUUUUUACUGUUUGUUAAUUGGACCCUCGUUCCAGAUAUUUGGGUCUUUUUUCAUCCCAUCUGAUGGUCUACAAAUUUGUCAGAUAGAGGCCACGGUUGGGGGAGUGUUUAGCGCUGUCGGGGGAGUGUUUAGCGCUGGCCGCUCAUAGAGCCGUAUACUGUAUACACAUAGAAGCUGCUGCCGGCCCGUGUCCUCCCUCCACCUCCCUCAUUAACCCCCUACUGACUGUUGUUAUUCCGUGGGGAUGGGGAAGGUGUUUUGUACACGACUAAAGUUUUAUCUGUGACAAAGCACGAGGGAUGUGCGAAAUGCGUUGGUUGCUUGGAACCUUUUUUUCUUUUUACCCAACUAAGUAAUAAAGAAUUGGAAUCAUGAAUGGAGGGGGAGGUUUAUCAAACCCUGUGCAGAGGAAUAGUCGUGCAGUUGCCCAUAGCAACCAAUAAGACAGCUGAUUGGUUGUCAUGGGCAACUGCUCCACUCUUCCUCUUGAAUCUCCCCCAAUGUGUUAUGAAGCUCUAAAAAAAGACUUUUCAUUUUUUUCUUCAGAAAUUUUUCAUGUUUUUUCCUGAACUGCCGAUCGUGUUUUAAUCGGUGACAUUUAGACGGAAUGUUCUGAACACUCGAAAAAAACAAAAUGAUGUUUUGAUGAUUUUUCACCAACUGACAUGUAUGUGUGUGUGCGCUUGGAUCUGCAGGGGCAAUUAUCAGAAAAAGAAUGUUACACAGGAGACUAUGAAUUCAGGUAACAUUUAAUCAUUAAUUAUAUAAUCAUUAAGUGCAAGCAGAAGGCAGUGUUAACGCGUGUCAUUACACGAAGUGUCGCUGGACACGAAAAGGGUUAACACUGCAUUCUCCUUGCAAGUUAGCCUUUCUUAAAGGGGUACUCCGCUGCUCAGCAUUUGGAACAAACUGUUCCGAAUGCUGGAGCCGGCGCCGGGAGCUUGUGAUGUCAUAUCCCGCCCUCUCAUGCUGUCAUGCCCCGCCCCUUAAUGCAAAUCUAUGGAAAGGGGGCGUGAUGGCUGCCACGCCCCCUCUCAUAGACUUGCAUUGGGGGGAGUGGCAUAACAUCAUGGGGGGUGGAGCUAUGAUGUCACAAGCUCCCUGCACCAGCUCCAGCGUUUGGAACUCCCAAUAGGGGACAACAAGGCUUAUGUGUCAGUCCUUUCUUGUACACAGGGUCAGUGUCAGUCCACUUGUGCCACAUCACUUUUUCCCUUCCCUC